Molecule: long non-coding RNA, 626 nt
Filed under: Elaeis guineensis (African oil palm)
Lineage: Eukaryota; Viridiplantae; Streptophyta; Magnoliopsida; Arecales; Arecaceae
Description: long non-coding RNA (EGUI_LNC039220)
Source: RNAcentral
UUUAUGUCACAAAUUGACAUAAAAAGUAUCAAUUAAUAUCUAAAUUAUCUAACUUUAUUAGAAAAUUGAUACUUGUUAUUAUAUUUUACAGAAGAAGAGGUCAUCAAUAGAAAGAACAAGGAAAGAGGAUUCUAACGGCGUAAAUUUUACGCAAAACGGAGUUAAAUUGACCCAGGAAUUGAAGAAUGAAGAAAGAAGACUCAAUUGGGUCAAACCCGAGUCAAAUCAGGUCAAAAUUGGUCAAAAAUCAACUGAUUUGGUGAUCUGGUUAGCCGCCUGGUCCACAGCAACAGGUGCCUGGACCAUGGAUCCAUCGACGCACCAUAAACCAGCCAAUCAGCGAGUCUCGGCUCACCGCAACGCAUCACGAGCCCGAUCCACACGCGCGGUCCAGGGCUCAUAAGGAGAGAGAAGAAGGUCCGAAGGGCAACCUGGUAACUUCACAUCACUCGAUGGUCCGAUCUUCUCUGAUCAAGAUCCAAUGCUCCAUAUUUUUGCGCCAUCGGACGGCCACCAUCGCAGCCGGUCAAGAUCCAACCGUAAUCAAGGCAAUUGCAAGAAUCAAUAAACACUAGGACAACACGGGAUCCUUCUGCAGCGUGAUCCAACGGAUGAAAUCUUCCAGC